RNAcentral lists this long non-coding RNA (318 nucleotides) under Anas platyrhynchos platyrhynchos (common mallard). Its description in RNAcentral is "lncRNA (ENSAPLG00000029316.1)". Lineage: Eukaryota; Metazoa; Chordata; Aves; Anseriformes; Anatidae. The record is from RNAcentral.
UAAUAAUAAAUAUUUUGAAGAAAAAUGUUUUCUCAGUGCUGACAGAGAGAAGCUGCAGAAAGGGGGAAGAGCAGUAACAGAAACAUGUGGCAUCCAGUGAUCUCAAUGGGAGGAGCCUGGAGGAUGCGAGCUCCAGUUUCAGAAGAGAGAAGAGAGACCCUUUUGACAAGCUGCAGCCCUUCUCCAGCCAGACAAAAUGAGUGGUGUUGGAGUCCUGCAGGCUGGCUCUGGGUCUUACCCUGGGACAGGAAAAUGUGGAUGGAAAUGGGACCUGCAGAUCCUGUGCAGGAUCUACAGGCACAGGAUCUACAGGUUUAA